Molecule: ribosomal RNA, 1015 nt
Filed under: uncultured bacterium
Lineage: Bacteria
Description: bacterial SSU rRNA
Rfam family: Bacterial small subunit ribosomal RNA
Source: RNAcentral
GACAGUACCCGCGGAAUAAGCCUCGGCUAACUACGUGCCAGCAGCCGCGGUAAUACGUAGGAGGCAAGCGUUGUCCGGAAUUACUGGGUGUAAAGCGCGUGUAGGCGGCAGACUAAGUCUGGGGUGAAAGCGCCCGGCUCAACUGGGCAGAGUCCCUGGAAACUAGUCAGCUGGAGGACGGUAGAGGUGCAUGGAAUUCCCGGUGUAGUGGUGAAAUGCGUAGAGAUCGGGAGGAACACCCGUGGCGAAGGCGGUGCACUGGGCCGGUCCUGACGCUGAGACGCGAAGGCGUGGGGAGCGAACGGGAUUAGAUACCCCGGUAGUCCACGCAGUAAACGAUGCACACUAGGUGUGGGGGGUAUCGAGCCCCUCCGUGCCGUAGCUAACGCAGUAAGUGUGCCACCUGGGGAGUACGGCCGCAAGGUUAAAACUCAAAGGAAUUGACGGGGGCCCGCACAAGCAGCGGAGCGUGUGGUUUAAUUCGAUGCAACGCGAAGAACCUUACCCAGGCUUGACAUGGCCUUGCAAACCGGGGAAACCCGGUCCUCUUCGGACAAGGUCACAGAUGUUGCAUGGCUGUCGUCAGCUCGUGUCGUGAGAUGUUGGGUUAAGUCCCGCAACGAGCGCAACCCUCGUGUGAUGUUGCAAAUCAUCGCAGACUGCCGGUACAAGCCGGAGGAAGGUGGGGAUGACGUCAAGUCCGCAUGGCUCUUACGUCUGGGGCUACACACACGCUACAAUGGCCGGGACAGCGGGCAGCCACGGGGCGACCCGGAGCGAAUCCCAAAACCCGGUCUCAGUUCGGAUGGCAGGCUGCAACUCGCCUGCCUGAAGUCGGAGUUGCUAGUAACCGCGUGUCAGCAUAGCGCGGUGAAUAUGUUCCCGGGCCUUGUACACACCGCCCGUCACGUCAUGGGAGCUGCCAACACCUGAAGUCCGUGGGCCAACCCGCAAGGGAGGUAGCGGCCGAGGGUGGGGGUGGUGACUGGGACGAAGUCGUAACAAGGUAGCCGUA